Molecule: transfer RNA, 67 nt
Filed under: Rhabdoblatta sp. RHA
Lineage: Eukaryota; Metazoa; Arthropoda; Insecta; Blattodea; Blaberidae
Description: tRNA-Ser
Rfam family: tRNA
About the family: Transfer RNA (tRNA) molecules are approximately 80 nucleotides in length. Their secondary structure includes four short double-helical elements and three loops (D, anti-codon, and T loops).
Source: RNAcentral
AGUUAAUUAUUUUAGAAAAUAAAUGUUUUGAAAGCAUUUUAAAGAGGUUUAAUUCCUCUAUUAACUU